Molecule: ribosomal RNA, 771 nt
Filed under: Carex pseudocyperus var. fascicularis
Lineage: Eukaryota; Viridiplantae; Streptophyta; Magnoliopsida; Poales; Cyperaceae
Description: eukaryotic LSU rRNA
Rfam family: 5.8S ribosomal RNA (bases 334-488)
Source: RNAcentral
GGCGGUCCGCCGCCUGUGACGUCGCGAGAAGUCCAUUGAACCUUAUCAUUUAGAGGAAGGAGAAGUCGUAACAAGGUUUCCGUAGGUGAACCUGCGGAAGGAUCAUUGUCGUUGCCUUUCCAGAAACACGACCGUCGAACACGUGACAGAAUGCUGCCGCGGAGGCGCUUGCCGCCUCCUCGGCCCCMCCGGCCUCCUCCCUCUCGCCCUUCCGGGCGCGUUGGUUGCUGGUCGGAAUACGGCGCGGGAUGACGCCAAGGAACACGGUAAAGCUGAGGCGCCGGCGAGCCGCUCAGGGUCUCCGUCGGUUGCCAAGGCCAACAGAAAAAAUAUGACUCUCGGCAACGGAUAUCUCGGCUCUCGCAUCGAUGAAGAACGUAGCGAAAUGCGAUACGUGGUGUGAAUUGCAGAAUCCCGUGAACCAUCGAGUCUUUGAACGCAAGUUGCGCCCGAGGGACCCUCCCGAGGGCACGCCUGCCUCAUGGGCGUUAGAAGCCCAUCCACGCUCGGUUGCCCAACUAACGGCAGAGAUGCGGACAUUGGCCCUCCGAACCGCGAGGUGCGGUGGGCCUAAGUGUGCGGCCGUCGUACGUGGCCGGGAGCGGCGAGUUGUGGGCUGCUGCGCACGUCGCCCCGAGCCCCGUACCGACGCAGGGCCUUGUACGACCCCCUAACGAGGAGCAAGCCGCUGCGGCUCCGGCUGCGCGGCGCCUUCGGACCGAUACCCCAGGUCAGGCGGGGCUACCCGCCGAGUUUAAGCAUAUAAAUAAG